Molecule: non-coding RNA, 345 nt
Organism: Schizosaccharomyces pombe (fission yeast)
Lineage: Eukaryota; Fungi; Ascomycota; Schizosaccharomycetes; Schizosaccharomycetales; Schizosaccharomycetaceae
Source: the annotation of a GenBank genome assembly
GAAUAUACCAAACUCUGUACCUUCGACUUUAGCCAGAGUCAUACGGGUAGAAGGCACCGACACACUACCAAUGAUUAACAAUGCCGUUGGUAUCAGAAGAAACAGAAUGGCUAGAAACGCUAAAGUAUUGCGAAUCAUGUUGAACACGAAAAGUUGCUAAUAGUUGUAUUUGUUCGAAAGAAGAAAUUCAAAUGCACAAGGGCAAAAUAAUUUAUGCAAGUAGAUGAAUGAAAAAAUAGAAAAGAAAGCUGAAAAGUUAAGAUAUUCUUAUAAAAAAAGAAAGACGGCCUAAAAUAAAUAUUGCUCGGGGAUUUGGGGGAAAUGAGAAAACCGAAAAGAGAGCAG